RNAcentral lists this small RNA (499 nucleotides) under Arabidopsis thaliana (thale cress). RNAcentral's name for it is "ATSL027780". The record is from RNAcentral. Lineage: Eukaryota; Viridiplantae; Streptophyta; Magnoliopsida; Brassicales; Brassicaceae.
UUUCAAAAAGAAAAUUUGGUUGUCGAUGUAUUCAAAAUAUACGAAAUAUGUUUUAGUUAUUAAUAAUUUUUCAACUAUUUGUUUUGAGGAUAAACAGAGUUUAUUUAUCUUGUAUAGCUUCGGGGUUUUGAUAUUGGAAGUGAUAAUUGGGAAACAUCCGAGAGAUUUGGUUUCGAGUUUAUCAUCGUCUCCCGAAGAAACUCUGUCACUGAGAAGCAUUUCCGAUGAACGUGUAUUAGUUUCACAGGGAAAAAAUAGAGAGAAGCUCACAAAAAUGGUGGAAAUUGCUUUAUCGUAUUAACAAGCAGAUCCGGAAACUCGGCCAACUAUGUUGUCAAUCUUCACUACAUUUUCUUAAAAUGUUUCUUUCAAUUUUUCUAAGGAGGCCAAAUUAUAGGUCCAUUCUAUGAUAAUUUUGUUAAAGAUUUAGUUAAAAACAAAAAACAAUACAUUAAAAAAAUUAUAGGUCCAUUCUAAAUUUCAUUUUUGUGUUACUAAU